GUUGCAGGCGCCGCGACUUUAAAGAACUGUAAAGGAAUUUUACACAAAGAUUUUUUCGUCUUUGGAUUUUUUUUUCCUAGAAAAGCACUAUAUUGUACAUGCAUUGCCGUGAAAUGAAAGGGACUUACCGGCUUCGUAUUCCUAUCUGGGCAACCCUUUACUUCCCUUCCCUUCCAGUAGGCCCAGAGAUCGCAAUUUUUUUACAAUAAUGACUGGGAUUGACCGAUAUAAGAAAAAAAAGGAUAAUAACAGUAUGUAUUAUUUUAUUUGAUGACGAAUUUUUCGAUUAAGCAUAAAGUUUUAAUGUCACGACGGUAAAUUGACGAAUACCUACUUAUUAU
Long non-coding RNA from Leguminivora glycinivorella, 341 nucleotides. RefSeq lists it as uncharacterized. The record is from RefSeq and is a predicted model, not a curated record. NCBI's taxonomy places the organism in Eukaryota, Metazoa, Arthropoda, Insecta, Lepidoptera, Tortricidae. The transcript is spliced from 2 exons.